AUUUUUAGCAAUGAAAAGAGACUUUAUUUAGAUUGGGAAAGGACUUUCCCCUUGUGUCCCCUGUCACUCUGAGUCACCUCCCAUGGCACCUUAACUUCGGAAUCCUGACGCUGCUUGACAAGAAGAAUGGCCCUCAGGUGGAGAAGGAUUUUACCAGAUGCCAAGAGAGGCUGAGGUAUUGCAACCCCCUGGGGAAGAGUAGCAGAGGUGCAGGAGCCAGGAGAGGCCUGCAGGAGCAGCGAGAGCUACGGGGGUCCUGGCAUGGCCCCAGCUGGCAGUGUGAGGCGUGAAUCCCCAGAAUAAGAAGUUUGGACAGAAUCUCGCAGGAAAUGGGGAGCCCUGAAGGCCAGGACAAUGCAUGGAGUCCUGGUCCCUCUGGUCACCAACAGCAGGUACAGAACCAAGCCUAGGGUUAUGUGGUGAUGUUUAUGGUAUUUAUCUACAUUGUGAUCUAAUAAAAAUUAUCACAAAUUUUUUAUAUGGG
RNAcentral lists this long non-coding RNA (484 nucleotides) under Cavia porcellus (domestic guinea pig). RNAcentral describes it as "lncRNA (ENSCPOG00000035784.1)". The record is from RNAcentral. Lineage: Eukaryota; Metazoa; Chordata; Mammalia; Rodentia; Caviidae.